UCUGNUCUGUCACUGACGCUGAGGCUNGAAAGCGUGGGUAGCGAACAGGAUUAGAUACCCUGGUAGUNCACGCCGUAAACGAUGAGUGCUAGGUGUUAGGCCCUUUCCGGGGCUUAGUGCCGGAGCUAACGCAAUAAGCACUCCGCCAGGGGAGUACGACCGCAAGGUUGAAACUCAAAGGAAUUGACGGGGGCCCGCACAAGCGGUGGAGCAUGUGGUUUAAUUCGAAGCAACGCGAAGAACCUUACCAGGUCUUGACAUCCCGAUGCUAUUCUUAGAGAUAGGAAGUUACUUCGGUACAUCGGAGACAGGUGGUGCAUGGUUGUCGUCAGCUCGUGUCGUGAGAUGUUGGGUUAAGUCCCGCAACGAGCGCAACCCUUAUUGUUAGUUGCCAUCAUUAAGUUGGGCACUCUAGCGAGACUGCCGGUAAUAAACCGGAGGAAGGUGGGGAUGACGUCAAAUCAUCAUGCCCCUUAUGACCUGGGCUACACACGUGCUACAAUGGUCGGUACAACGAGUUGCGAGCCGGUGACGGCAAGCUAAUCUCUGAAAGCCGAUCUCAGUUCGGAUUGGAGGCUGCAACUCGCCUCCAUGAAGUCGGAAUCGCUAGUAAUCGCGGAUCAGCACGCCGCGGUGAAUACGUUCCCGGGCCUUGUACACACCGCCCGUCACACCACGAGAGUUUGUAGCACCCGA
Molecule: ribosomal RNA, 696 nt
Filed under: uncultured bacterium
Lineage: Bacteria
Description: bacterial SSU rRNA
Rfam family: Bacterial small subunit ribosomal RNA
Source: RNAcentral